Sebastes umbrosus (honeycomb rockfish) is the source of this 575-nucleotide non-coding RNA. NCBI's taxonomy places the organism in Eukaryota, Metazoa, Chordata, Actinopteri, Perciformes, Sebastidae. The record is from the annotation of a RefSeq genome assembly.
CAAUGCAAAACUCAGAUGUCUUCCACCUCUACUUAUCUGACUGCAGAGAGGAGGACAGAGGACAGUGGACACACAGUUUAACAUGAUGGACUAUAGGACAGGACUGCUGCUUUUAACCAUCUGCUGCUGGACAGGUGUUGAUGGUCAGACUCUGACAGAAUCUGAACCAGCGAUUAAAAGACCUGGAGAAUCCCACAGACUGACCUGUACAGCCUCUGGAUUCACAUUCAGCAGCUCUUAUAUGGCCUGGGUUAGACAGGCUCAUGGAAAAGGACUGGAGUGGAUCGCUUAUAUCUAUACUGACAGUAGCAGCAAAUACUACUCUCAGUCAGUUCAGGGCCGGUUCACCAUCUCCAGAGACGACAACAGACAGCAGGUGUAUCUCCAGAUGAACAGUCUGAGGACUGAAGACUCUGCUGUGUAUUACUGUGCCAGAGAGCCACAACAACACAAACCAUCAGUAGACCUGAACAAAAACCCCUCAGUGCCUGAACACUUGUAACAUGAAGCCACCAGAGGAGGAGCCCUCAGACCACUAAUGAUUUCAACACCAGCUCACUGUCACACUGAAGACA